This 81-nucleotide non-coding RNA is filed under the name unclassified sequences. The record is from Rfam.
AUAAUGAUACUUCUGCUUAGCCACAGUCUAAAGCAAUGGGAGCAGUUUUGUGAGAACCACAAGAAGGUGAAAUUCCUAUGG